AAUAGAGAAAGGUAUUGCAAUAUCCAUUAUGAAUACAAGAGAAAAUUGACACAAGAGUGUCAGGGUGAGGAUGUGUUGGAUUUAUUAUUUUUUAGUACUCAUUCAUUCGCGUAUUAUUCGAUUGAUUCUCGCGUCGUCAAUUUAUGCUUGCAAAGAAGAAUGCUUCUGCCUGUCAUGAUAGUUUGAUUUUGCUUGCAAAGAAGAACGCUUAUGCUUGCAAUCAUUAGUUGGCUUUGCCUGCAAUGAAGAACGCUUAUGCUUUCAAUAAAGAUAUAUCCUUUAUUAUUUACUCACAUCUAUAAUCAUUAUAUAUUCUUCAUUAUAUGCUCACUUUUGCUUGCUGUACUGUGUGAAAGGUUAGGGUCGCAACCACCUUUCCGAGGACGUGGUUGGGAAGAGAUAAUUGUUAAGACUAAACAGUGAGCAAGGGUGAACAGUGAAUGGAGACAUCAACACCAGCUGCAACGUGAUGUUUAUGUGACAUUUGCACACAUGUACGUAAUUUGCACUCACAUACACACACAUAAUCAAACAAGUUCAGUGUGUGUUCAACAGCCCCCACCCUUUAGGUUGGACACACCUAUGUAGUAGCUUUCCCAAUAAAUGAGGAGGUGAAGGGGGAGAUCGUUAGGGGUGACGUGCGGAGAACUGAAACCGAACGCUUCUCCUCGUUCCCUCAUGGUACCAGAA
Molecule: long non-coding RNA, 690 nt
Organism: Hippocampus zosterae (dwarf seahorse)
Lineage: Eukaryota; Metazoa; Chordata; Actinopteri; Syngnathiformes; Syngnathidae
Exons: 2
Source: RefSeq, a predicted model, not a curated record